This 459-nucleotide ribosomal RNA is filed under the name uncultured Caldilineaceae bacterium. RNAcentral describes it as "bacterial SSU rRNA". It matches the Rfam family "Bacterial small subunit ribosomal RNA", at positions 8 to 467 of the family's 1533-position model. Lineage: Bacteria; Bacillati; Chloroflexota; Caldilineae; Caldilineales; Caldilineaceae. The record is from RNAcentral.
AGAGUUUGAUCCUGGCUCAGGAUGAACGCUGGCGGCGUGCCUAACACAUGCAAGUCGAACGUGAUCCCGUUUUCGGAUGGGUGAAAGUGGCGAACGGGUGAGUAACACGUUGGUGACCUGCCCCGAAGAGGGGGAUAACUCUGGGAAACCAGAGCUAAAACCCCAGAUGUUUAAGAGUUUAGACGCCUUAAACUAAAACCUUGGUGCUUCGGGAGGGGCCUGCGGGCUAUCAGCUAGUUGGUGGGGUAAAGGCCUACCAAGGCGAAGACGGCUAGGGGGCGUGAGAGCGUGACCCCCCACAAUGGAACUGAGAAACGGUCCAUACUCCUACGGGAGGCAGCAGUGAGGAAUAUUGCACAAUGGGCGCAAGCCUGAUGCAGCAACGCCGCGUGGAUGAUGAAGGCCUUCGGGUUGUAAAAUCCUUUUCUGGGGAAAGAUAAUGACGUACCCCAGAAUAUC